GCAAGUCGAACGGUGAAGCCCAGCUUGCUGGGUGGAUCAGUGGCGAACGGGUGANUAACACGUGAGCAACCUGCCCCAGACUUCGGGAUAAGCCUUGGAAACGAGGUCUAAUACUGGAUAUGAGGUCACAUCGCAUGGNGUGGUCUGGAAAGAUUUAUCGGUCUGGGAUGGGCUCGCGGCCUAUCAGCUUGUUGGUGGGGUAGUGGCCUACCAAGGCGACGACGGGUAGCCGGCCUGAGAGGGCGACCGGCCACACUGGGACUGAGACACGGCCCAGACUCCUACGGGAGGCAGCAGUGGGGAAUAUUGCACAAUGGGCGCAAGCCUGAUGCAGCGACGCCGCGUGAGGGAUGAAGGCCUUCGGGUUGUAAACCUCUUUCAGCAGGGAAGAAGCGCAAGUGACGGUACCUGCAGAAGAAGCGCCGGCUAACUACGUGCCAGCAGCCGCGGUAAUACGUAGGGCGCAAGCGUUGUCCGGAAUUAUUGGGCGUAAAGAGCUCGUAGGCGGUCUGUCGCGUCUGGUGUGAAAACUCAAGGCUCAACCUUGAGCUUGCAUCGGGUACGGGCAGACUAGAGUGCGGUAGGGGAGACUGGAAUUCCUGGUGUAGCGGUGGAAUGCGCAGAUAUCAGGAGGAACACCGAUGGCGAAGGCAGGUCUCUGGGCCGCAACUGACGCUGAGGA
This 682-nucleotide ribosomal RNA is filed under the name Oerskovia sp. Its description in RNAcentral is "bacterial SSU rRNA". It matches the Rfam family "Bacterial small subunit ribosomal RNA", at positions 57 to 752 of the family's 1533-position model. Lineage: Bacteria; Bacillati; Actinomycetota; Actinomycetes; Micrococcales; Cellulomonadaceae. The record is from RNAcentral.